This 245-nucleotide ribosomal RNA is filed under the name uncultured soil bacterium. RNAcentral's name for it is "partial 16S ribosomal RNA". It matches the Rfam family "Bacterial small subunit ribosomal RNA", at positions 26 to 267 of the family's 1533-position model. The record is from RNAcentral.
AGGAUGAACGCUGGCGGCGUGCUUAACACAUGCAAGUCGAACGAUGAAGGCUGGAGCUUGCUCUGGCUGGAUUAGUGGCGAACGGGUGAGUAACACGUGAGUAACCUGCCCCAGACUCUGGGAUAAGCGCUGGAAACGGCGUCUAAUACCGGAUACGAGCUUCCACCGCAUGGUGAGGAGCUGGAAAGAAUUUCGGUCUGGGAUGGACUCGCGGCCUAUCAGCUUGUUGGUGAGGUAAUGGCUCA